Molecule: ribosomal RNA, 497 nt
Filed under: uncultured bacterium
Lineage: Bacteria
Description: partial 16S ribosomal RNA
Rfam family: Bacterial small subunit ribosomal RNA
Source: RNAcentral
GAUGAACGCUGGCGGCGUGCCUAAUACAUGCAAGUCGAGCGAACGGACGAGAAGCUUGCUUCUCUGAUGUUAGCGGCGGACGGGUGAGUAACACGUGGAUAACCCACCUAUCAGUCUGGGAUAACUUCGGGAAACCGGAGCUAAUACCGGAUGAUAUCCUGCACCGCAGGGUUCAAAAGUGAAAGACGGUCUUGCUGUCACUCAUAGAUGGAUCCGCGCUGCAUUAGCUAGUUGGUAAGGUCACGGCUUACCAAGGCAACGAGGCAUAGCCGACCGGAGAGGGGGAUAGGCCGCCCGAGAACGUGGACACGGUCCAGGCGACUACGAGAGGGCGCAGAAGGGAAUGUUCCGCAGUGGGCGAAAGCCUUGCGGAGCAGCGGCGCGUGAGUGAUGAAGGUCUUCGGAUCGUAAAGCUCUGUUAUUAGGUAAGAACAUAUGUGUAAGUAACUGUGCACAUCUUGACGGUACCUAAUCAAAAAGCCACGGCUAACUACGUG